This 497-nucleotide ribosomal RNA is filed under the name uncultured bacterium. RNAcentral's name for it is "partial 16S ribosomal RNA". It matches the Rfam family "Bacterial small subunit ribosomal RNA", at positions 28 to 507 of the family's 1533-position model. The record is from RNAcentral.
GAUGAACGCUGGCGGCGUGCCUAAUACAUGCCAGUCGAGCGAACGGACGAGAAGCUUGCUUCUCUGAUGUUAGCGGCGGACGGGUGAGUAACACGUGGAUAACCUACCUAUAAGACUGGGAUAACUUCGGGAAACCGGAGCUAAUACCGGAUAAUAUUUUGAACCGCAUGGUUCAAAAGUGAAAGACGGUCUUGCUGCCACUUAUAGAUGGAUCCGCGCUGCAUUAGCUUGUUGGUAAGGUAACGGCUUACCAAGGCAACGAUGCAUAGCCGACCUGAGAGGGUGAUCGGCCACACUGGAACUGAGACACGGUCCAGACUCCUACGGGAGGCAGCAGUAGGGAAUCUUCCGCAAUGGGCGAAAGCCUGACGGAGCAACGCCGCGUGAGUGAUGAAGGUCUUCGGAUCGUAAAACUCUGUUAUUAGGGAAGAACAUAUGUGUAUGUAACUGUGCACAUCUUGACGGUACCUAAUCAGAAAGCCACGGCUAACUACGUG